UUCGCCACCUUUAAAGCGGCGAAAAUGGUCGAGAAUUACCUAUUGUUUACAUCCAUGUAGGUCAGUGUUUUGGUAGUGACUAGGUGAGUCGUUUGCCCAGUGACGAAUGUUUAUCGCUAAUUUAUUUGUAUUCUUCGACGCGUUUCCUUCAGGUAAACUGUUUAUCUAUCGCCGUUCGCCGACAACAAUUAGAGGCAUUCAACAAUAUCAAGCCCUGAAUGCGGAUGAGUGUGUGAAUGGUAAUGACUGAGUAGCUUCGAAUGCGAAAAUCCAGCAAUUUUUUGUGGGGGCUGACUCCCACUGAACCGAAGCGAAAGGUGCUCACCAAACACGGGUGAACAUAUCAAAAGUCGGGGUAGAACUCACAAAUACCGAGCAUAAAGAGAGAAAGUAGAUGUUCGUCGAAUAUUAUUGCGCUGCAAUCAACUAUCAUUCAUCAACUUUUUGACACACAAAUGUCGGCACUUGAAUAAAUAUAUCAGUUACACAUGUGUGAGUGGGUACGGCCUUGACAGGAAAUAAAAAGGGGGCGGAGUGGGUUGAAGUGGGUGGCAGGCGCAACAGGCGAAUGAAUCAUGGGUGUCACAUGAGUGUGGCGCCGCAAGUGAGUUGUAAUUCAUUUGCGAGUGGAUGCAAAGUUUUCGCUGCGAAUGGACAACUGAAUGGCGAAUAACUCUCGCAGGUCGGGAUCAUCCAUAUCCAUUUCGAGGAUUUACCGGAGCUCAAAGGGGCGAAAGCUGCGCAGGAUUCUCCUCUCAAUGUGCACUUUCAACGGACACUGCGUAAUCGCAAUCGAAACGACUUCAACGUUUAUUUAGCCCAUACCGCAGUGCUAAUUCUACCCGUCACAUUUCACUGCCCCCCUUUUCACCGCCCAUAUAUUGCGCCCAAAGUAGGCGUGGGACUGGCAGCUGCAGCAGUACCGCUCCAUGAUGGUAUUAACCGGAAGUGACGACAGCGCCGGACAACGCCUAAAAGCACACUGCAGAAUUUAUUUCUUUAUUUCUCACGCUCGCCUGAUUUUAUUUUUAAUUAUCCGGUGCAGGCGGUGGAAAUUAAUUCCGUGGAUGGCGAACAAAUAUGAAAAACUAUAAAGAAAAUGCGCAUAUUAAAAGUCAGUCAAAGCGUAUGGGGAGCGGUUCGGAAAAAUUGGUUGGCAAAAAAUAAAUAUCAUAUUUAAAUAUGGCAAUAUGAAUGCGAAAAACGAUUGGAAAGAACGAUUCACAUAUUGCGUAUUGCGAUUUUGGUGUUGAUUUAUGGACCGAAAAUAAUUGUUUUGCCUGCUCGAUGCGAUUUGGAACCAUCAUGUGAAAAUAAAACUCG
Drosophila biarmipes is the source of this 1323-nucleotide long non-coding RNA. RefSeq lists it as uncharacterized. The transcript has 4 exons. Lineage: Eukaryota; Metazoa; Arthropoda; Insecta; Diptera; Drosophilidae. The record is from RefSeq and is a predicted model, not a curated record.